UGAUUUUUUCUCAGUGACUAACUUUGCCAGCACAGGUCACAUAUGCUACUUAAUUUCCACUUGAGAGUGGUCAGAUUUAAAGUCUGAGAUUAGUCCAUCAGUUCUUGAAUUUCAAUUUUUGUUUAUGUGUGUGCGUGUGUGUGUGUGUGUGUGCGUGCGUGUGUAUGUGUGUGUUCAAAACAAGAGUGUCUGUCUCAGAAGCUGAAGAAAAAAGGUCACACCUUAUAGGAAAUAAACGCCUCCUAAGUGUAUGGAAAUACCUGGCUGAGGAGAUCAGUGACAUAAACCAGAUAAAACUGUCAGUGGUCUGAGACAGCUACAAGCCACAAAAACAGUUCAUAGUUCCUGCAUUUCUAUAAUGCAUUAAUGAAUAACAAUAAUUAAAAUAAAAUGUAAUGUCAAGGUUUUGUGUUAAUUCCAGCUAUGUUGAGUAUUCUGUGAAUAAUUUUGAUUUUAGGUGCAUAUUCUUAAUUCUUUGCAAAACAACCUGAACUGUUUGCUAUUGAAAGGUUGGUAUGAAGUUUAAAUAAAUAAAAACAUUAUAUUCUUGACAAAAC
This is a long non-coding RNA of Carassius auratus (goldfish), 557 nucleotides long. RefSeq lists it as uncharacterized. The transcript has 2 exons. NCBI's taxonomy places the organism in Eukaryota, Metazoa, Chordata, Actinopteri, Cypriniformes, Cyprinidae. The record is from RefSeq and is a predicted model, not a curated record.